RNAcentral lists this ribosomal RNA (634 nucleotides) under Coprinopsis sp. X-19. RNAcentral's name for it is "eukaryotic LSU rRNA". It matches the Rfam family "Eukaryotic large subunit ribosomal RNA", at positions 50 to 667 of the family's 3401-position model. Lineage: Eukaryota; Fungi; Basidiomycota; Agaricomycetes; Agaricales; Psathyrellaceae. The record is from RNAcentral.
GCGGAGGAAAAGAAACUAACAAGGAUUCCCCUAGUAACUGCGAGUGAAGCGGGAAAAGCUCAAAUUUAAAAUCUGGUAGUCUUUGGCUGCCCGAGUUGUAAUCUAGAGAAGUGUUACCCGUGCUGGACCGUGUACAAGUCUCCUGGAAUGGAGCGUCAUAGAGGGUGAGAAUCCCGUCUUUGACACGGACUCCCAGUGCAUUGUGGUAUGCUCUCAACGAGUCGAGUUGUUUGGGAAUGCAGCUCAAAAUGGGUGGUGAAUUCCAUCUAAAGCUAAAUAUUGGCGAGAGACCGAUAGCGAACAAGUACCGUGAGGGAAAGAUGAAAAGAACUUUGGAAAGAGAGUUAAACAGUACGUGAAAUUGUUGAAAGGGAAACGCUUGAAGUCAGUCGCGUUGUCCAGAAAUCAACCUUGGUUCUCCUGGGUGUACUUUCUGGUUUAACGGGUCAGCAUCAGUUUCGAUCGAUGGAAAAAGUCCAAGGGAAUGUGGCAUCUUCGGAUGUGUUAUAGCCCUCGGUCGUAUGCAUCGGUUGGGACUGAGGAAUUCAGCACGCCGCAAGGCCGGGGUUCGCCCACGUACGUGCUUAGGAUGCUGGCAUAAUGGCUUUAAUCGACCCGUCUUGAAACACGGACC